UUCAAAACGCAGUCGCUGGUUUUUAACUAGAGGAAAGUCCAUGCUCGCACAAUCUGCGAUGAUUGUAGUGUUUGUGCUAGAUGAAUAAAUAAGUCUAGGCAUUAAUUUGACGGCAACUUUAAUCCUAAGGGCAACUAUGGAAGCGAGUUUGAAAGUGCCACAGAGACGAGUUCGAUUGGAAACAACGAAGUGGAACGGGUAAACCCCACAAGCGAGAAACCCAAAUUUGGUAGGGGAGUCAGCUGGAAUGAAUUGAAAGGAAGGCUGGAUAUCGAAAGAUAUAGAUAAAUGGCUGCAUAUACAGAACAUGGCUUAUGAUU
This is a non-coding RNA of Firmicutes bacterium CAG:536, 320 nucleotides long. It matches the Rfam family "Bacterial RNase P class B". From Rfam's summary of the family: Ribonuclease P (RNase P) is a ubiquitous endoribonuclease, found in archaea, bacteria and eukarya as well as chloroplasts and mitochondria. Its best characterised activity is the generation of mature 5'-ends of tRNAs by cleaving the 5'-leader elements of precursor-tRNAs. NCBI's taxonomy places the organism in Bacteria, Bacillati, Bacillota. The record is from Rfam.